This 1324-nucleotide ribosomal RNA is filed under the name Triticum aestivum (bread wheat). Its description in RNAcentral is "partial small subunit ribosomal RNA". The record is from RNAcentral. Lineage: Eukaryota; Viridiplantae; Streptophyta; Magnoliopsida; Poales; Poaceae.
AAAAGGAUACGGAUUUGGAAGUGGAGAGGCCCUGAGGGACGGGCCGCGGCCCAUAGGUCAAAAUAGUCCCAAAGAAAAUCUUUACACGUCACUAUGUGUUAAAGUGAGAUGGCGGCCUCAGCCUCCGUGCAGCGGCUGCUCGGCUGCAACUGCGUGGAGGGUGGAGACGCCGCUGCGGCGGCGGAGGCGGGGUCGGCGCGCGCGGAGGAUAGGUCGUUGCCGGGGCGCAAGAGGCAGGGGCGGGCGGCGCGUCUGGCGGUGGUCGGGUGGUGAUCAGGUUAAGCUCUUCCUGAUCCAAACAAAGGCUCGUGUCGUGGCGUCGGGCGCCCUGAGGCCUAGCCGCUGCCUUAGAGCUAGCUAGCUAGCUGACCAAGCCGGCGACUUGAGUUGAGCAGAGGUUUAUCUCGGUCCCCCCUAAGAACUGGCGGAGCAACCAGCAACGAAUGGCGCGAGCAGAAGCGUUACCCCUCGAGGAGGCGCACGCUGCCCUGAGACAGUGAGCUGCUCAAGUUGCGGAGUCGCUUCCGGGACCAGUGGUUCACCUCCCCCUAACUACAGCUGCGAGAAGGGCUGACCCUCACCUCCGGAACGGCGUUCUACCCCCACGGUAGACUCUGUCUCCCCAAACAUCGGGAGCUUCCUCAGAUAGCUUAAGCACGUCCUUCGGUCUAACUCCUCUCGUCACUGCUGGGACAGGGACUACUACUACAACAUCCCGUACUAUGGAGCCAAGUCUCGAGAUCCCUAUUACAAGUAGAAAUACUAAAGGUAUAACAGAUGUCGAAAAGAAUGUUCCAAGGCCACGAUAUGAAAGUUCCAGAAGUCCGACCACCCGUCGACGAUUGAAAUCUACUCUAUUUUUUCCUAGAAGGAGGAGUAAGUGAAGUCAACAAUUUGCUUAGUUUCACCUGUAAAUAAUGAGCUCUCCUCGUAGGGGUGGAUUCAUCCGGUACCAAGUGGGACGUAGGUACACCUUGGUCACUGACCUACUUCAACGAAGAAGUAUUUGACCCUCUAUUUCUAGCUAGAGACGUUAUGAACGGUCGUACCAAUAGACACCGGCCAGUCCGUCAUCCUAACUUUUAGGGCGAAUUCGAAAUAACGUCAAGUAUCCAAGUGAGAAGAGGUGAUACAUCAUGAUGAUAAAACCACUCAUUUUACCCUUCACAGGUGGAGAAUAAAACGAAACGUAUACAAGUUUGUAAAGAGAACCAUUAAACUGGUAAAACGUCACAUUAUUGAUUAAAAUAACGUAUACGUGCUUACCGUGUCAACGUGUAUGACGCCGUAUCAACGUCGAAAUUGUACUACUAAAUAGGAACCC